GUAGGUGGCAAGCGUUGUCCGGAAUUAUUGGGCGUAAAGCGCGCGCAGGCGGUCCUUUAAGUCUGAUCGUGAAAGCCCACGGCUCAACCGUGGAGGGUCAUUGGAAACUGAGGGACUUGAGUACAGAAGACGGAAAGCGGAAUUCCACGUGUAGCGGUGAAAUGCGUAGAGAUGUGGAGGAACACCAGUGGCGAAGGCGGCUUUCUGGUCUGUAACUGACGCUGAGGCGCGAAAGCGUGGGGAGCAAACAGGGAUUAGAUACCCUGGUAGUCCACGCCGUAAACGAUGAGUGCUAAGUGUUAGGGGGUUUCCGCCCCCUUAGUGCUGCAGCUAACGCAUUAAGCACUCCGCCUGGGGAGUACGACCGCAAGGUUG
This 375-nucleotide ribosomal RNA is filed under the name uncultured organism. RNAcentral describes it as "partial 16S ribosomal RNA". It matches the Rfam family "Bacterial small subunit ribosomal RNA", at positions 527 to 896 of the family's 1533-position model. The record is from RNAcentral.